This is a long non-coding RNA of Varanus komodoensis (Komodo dragon), 149 nucleotides long. RefSeq lists it as uncharacterized. The transcript has 3 exons. The record is from RefSeq and is a predicted model, not a curated record. Lineage: Eukaryota; Metazoa; Chordata; Lepidosauria; Squamata; Varanidae.
AACAGUGGCAAGCACUUGGUUCAGUAGCCUUGUUCUGAAGAAGUGGAAGAUCUGUGAACUGUCCUUUCCAAACAAUCAUGAGUGAGAGACAAGGUGCGGGAGCAACAAAUGGAAAAGACAAGUCAUCUGGUGAGAAUGGGUUGGAAGAC